AUGGCUGGUAUUUUUUGGAACGCUAGAGGUUUAGGAGAACCUGAAAAAAGAAGGUUUCUUAAAGAAACCAUCUGUGAGCAUAAGGUAGAGUUCGUUUGUAUUCAAGAGACUAAGAAAAAGGACUUCACUGGUCUGUGGUUGGCGGGAAUUAGUGAUAAUUUUACUUUUAUAUGGCUCUGGCAACGAGCUGUGGGUGCUUCAGGGGGAUUGCUUAUGGGGGUUAGGGAAGAUUUAUUCGAUGUGGAUACGUGUGUAGCUAGUAAAUAUAUGACUCGAAUGACCGUGAUGGAUAAGAGGACCGGUUUCAAAUGGAAUCUGGUCAAUGUUUACGAGGCUGCUCAUUCUAGAGAUAAA
This 354-nucleotide ribosomal RNA is filed under the name Triticum aestivum (bread wheat). RNAcentral describes it as "partial small subunit ribosomal RNA". The record is from RNAcentral. Lineage: Eukaryota; Viridiplantae; Streptophyta; Magnoliopsida; Poales; Poaceae.